AGCGUUUUGGACCCACCUGAUCCCAUUCCGAACUCAGAAGUGAAACGAAAUAGCGCCGAUGGUAGUGUGGGGUUUCCCCAUGUGAGAGUAGGAC
RNAcentral lists this ribosomal RNA (94 nucleotides) under Vibrio parahaemolyticus. The record is from RNAcentral. Lineage: Bacteria; Pseudomonadati; Pseudomonadota; Gammaproteobacteria; Vibrionales; Vibrionaceae.